GGGGCCUUAGCUCAGCUGGGAGAGCACCUGCUUUGCAAGCAGGGGGUCGGGGGUUCGAUCCCCCCAGGCUCCA
This 73-nucleotide transfer RNA is filed under the name Rubellimicrobium thermophilum DSM 16684. It matches the Rfam family "tRNA". From Rfam's summary of the family: Transfer RNA (tRNA) molecules are approximately 80 nucleotides in length. Their secondary structure includes four short double-helical elements and three loops (D, anti-codon, and T loops). Lineage: Bacteria; Pseudomonadati; Pseudomonadota; Alphaproteobacteria; Rhodobacterales; Roseobacteraceae. The record is from Rfam by way of RNAcentral. RNAcentral also lists the same sequence under 2 other names.